Molecule: ribosomal RNA, 253 nt
Filed under: uncultured bacterium
Lineage: Bacteria
Description: partial 16S ribosomal RNA
Rfam family: Bacterial small subunit ribosomal RNA
Source: RNAcentral
UACAGAGGGUGCGAGCGUUAAUCGGAAUCACUGGGCUUAAAGGGUCCGUAGGCGGGACUGCAGGCGUCGAGUGAAAUACCACGGCUCAACCGUGGAACUGCUCGGCGAACCGCAGUUCUUGAGGCGAGUAGAGGCGAUCAGAACGAUAGGUGGAGCGGUGAAAUGCGUAGAUAUCUAUCGGAAUGCCGAAGGUGAAGACAGGUCGCUGGGCUCGUCCUGACGCUGAGGGACGAAAGCGUGGGGAGCAAACGGG